AGCGAACGCUGGCGGCAGGCUUAACACAUGCAAGUCGAACGCCCCGCAAGGGGAGUGGCAGACGGGUGAGUAACACGUGGGAACGUACCCUUUGGUUCGGAAUAACUUGGGGAAACUCAAGCUAAUACCGGAUAAGCCCUUACGGGGAAAGGUUUACUGCCGAAGGAUCGGCCCGCGUCUGAUUAGCUAGUUGGUGAGGUAACGGCUCACCAAGGCGACGAUCAGUAGCUGGUCUGAGAGGAUGAUCAGCCACACUGGGACUGAGACACGGACCAGACUCCUACGGGAGGCAGCAGUGGGGAAUAUUGGACAAUGGGGGCAACCUUGAUCCAGCCAUGCCGCGUGAGUGAUGAAGGCCUUAGGGUUGUAAAGCUCUUUUACCCGGGACGAUAAUGACUGUACCGGGAGAAUAAGCCCCGGCUAACUUCGUGCCAGCCGCCGCGGUAA
Molecule: ribosomal RNA, 447 nt
Filed under: uncultured bacterium
Lineage: Bacteria
Description: partial 16S ribosomal RNA
Rfam family: Bacterial small subunit ribosomal RNA
Source: RNAcentral